AGUGAACGCUGGCGGUAGGCCUAACACAUGCAAGUCGAACGGCAGCACAGUAAGAGCUUGCUCUUACGGGUGGCGAGUGGCGGACGGGUGAGGAAUACAUCGGAAUCUACUUUUUCGUGGGGGAUAACGUAGGGAAACUUACGCUAAUACCGCAUACGACCUACGGGUGAAAGCAGGGGAUCUUCGGACCUUGCGCGAUUGAAUGAGCCGAUGUCGGAUUAGCUAGUUGGCGGGGUAAAGGCCCACCAAGGCGACGAUCCGUAGCUGGUCUGAGAGGAUGAUCAGCCACACUGGAACUGAGACACGGUCCAGACUCCUACGGGAGGCAGCAGUGGGGAAUCUUGGACAAUGGGCGCAAGCCUGAUCCAGCCAUACCGCGUGGGUGAAGAAGGCCUUCGGGUUGUAAAGCCCUUUUGUUGGGAAAGAAAAGCAGCAGAUUUAUACCCCGCUGUUCUGACGGUACCCAAAGAAUAAGCACCGGCUAACUUCGUG
This 492-nucleotide ribosomal RNA is filed under the name uncultured bacterium. RNAcentral's name for it is "partial 16S ribosomal RNA". It matches the Rfam family "Bacterial small subunit ribosomal RNA", at positions 29 to 507 of the family's 1533-position model. The record is from RNAcentral.